This is a long non-coding RNA of Bos taurus (domestic cattle), 1350 nucleotides long. NCBI's taxonomy places the organism in Eukaryota, Metazoa, Chordata, Mammalia, Artiodactyla, Bovidae. The record is from Ensembl.
GCCCCGAGCCAACCAGCGGAGGAGGCGGGGUCUCGCGCUGCGCGUCUCCGGCCGGGCGGGGCUGUGGGGGGGGGGCGACGCAGCUGUUAGCUCCGCCUCCUCGCUGCGCCCCUAGGCUUCAGACCCCCGCACCUUGGAGCUGCAGCUCCCGCCUUUUCUUCCUCACUUAGCGGCGGAGCAAGCUUUCCAGACUCGUCAGUGGCUUUUUUGGGGGAUAAAGACACAAAUCCUCGCUGGGCCCCGAAGCCCUGGGGACCCGAGCCCUGCGGCCUCCCGGCCUCCCCCCUCCUCUUCCCCGCCCGCCCCUCCGCCCCAGCCAUCCUGGCCUUCUGCCGCACCCUACCUUGCCCCGGGCUUUGGCCCAGCCUGCGCCCCGGGCCUAGCCAGUCCUGCUCCCCGGGCCUAGCCACUCCUACCCCCCCGCUCCCCCUCCGCCUUCUCCAGCCCCAGUCUCUCCUCUGCUGCAGCUGCCCUCCCCAGCUCCGCGCACCCGGGCCAAUUCCCAGAUCAAGGCCCGGGGGAAAUUUGGCUCUCGCCGCCGCCUCCGGGGUCCACAGCCCCACCCCCCGUCAUGUGAUCAAGAACAGGCCUUGCUUCCCCGGACUCCAGUGGCUCAGCUCUGACCCCACCACUGCCCUGAGGAACCCCAGAUGCGGAGCCUUGAGUUCAAACCCAGCCCUCUAACGGACACAUCUGUGGCCGCCCUGGGAGAUCAGCCCAUUCGUGUGCUUGCAAAACAGCCCAGCCUGCUUUGGGAGAACGCUGCUGAUUUGCCAGCAUGAGCUGGGGCUGCUUGGUGGACGUUGAACCUCCCCUGCCCUCCCUGCAAGCUUUCCGUUUUCUCCUGCAUGCAAUGGAGGGAAUGGUGCCCAGCCCUUGGGAUGACUGGAAGACACCUGGCACCAAGCCAGCAGCCCCCUGAAGCCUUUUUAGACUCUGUUCUACCAUCCACUUCCGAUUCCCAAGCACUCACCUACGUGCCCCAGCCAGAUCCAACUGCCACAGCUUGCCCGAGCAGACGGCAGCACCUGGCCACAGCUCAGCACCUGCUCACACACCUGCUGGCCCUGGGCUAGCCCUGCCGUCGGCACAGCUGCCUGCCCACCCACUGUCACUCACGUCUGUUUGGAACUACCAUUUCCGGCAUUUCCUGUGCUCUGGCCGACUUGGUGAGAGAGAGGCGACCCCUGGCCUCUGGGCUCAUGAAUUCCUGGGUAAGUCAGUGACCAGCCUCCGGGCUGGUGUCUGUCUUCCACGAGGAUGGCCUCCAUGAUCAGCUGAGCCCACCUGCCGCAGAGGCCCCCUGUCUCAGAUCCCGGCCCGGCCCUGCUGAGGAGUGCUCCUCAGAGU